GACGAACGCUGGCGGCGUGCUUAACACAUGCAAGUCGAACGGAAAGGCCCUGCUUUGGUGGGGUGCUCGAGUGGCGAACGGGGGAGUAACACGUGAGUAACCUGUCCUUGACUUUGAGAUAACUUCAGGAAACUGGGGCUAAUACCGGCUAGGAGUUCCUGCUGCAGGGUGGGGGCUGGAUGGUUUCGGCGGUUGGGGAUGGAAUCGCGGCGUAUCAGCUUGUUGGUGGGGUAGUGGCUUACCAAGGCUUUGACGGGUAGCCGGCCUGAGAGGGUGACCGGCCACAUUGGGACUGAGAUACGGCCCAGACUCCUACGGGAGGCAGCAGUGGGGAAUAUUGCACAAUGGGCGGAAGGCUGAUGCAGCAACGCCGCGUGCGGGAUGACGGCCUUCGGGUUGUAAACCGCUUUCGCCUGUGACGAAGCGUGAGUGACGGUAAUGGGUAAAGAAGCACCGGCUAACUACGUG
Molecule: ribosomal RNA, 468 nt
Filed under: uncultured bacterium
Lineage: Bacteria
Description: partial 16S ribosomal RNA
Rfam family: Bacterial small subunit ribosomal RNA
Source: RNAcentral